ACGGCAGCACGGGAGCAAUCCUGGUGGCGAGUGGCGAACGGGUGAGUAAUAUAUCGGAACGUGCCCAGUCGUGGGGGAUAACGUAGCGAAAGCUACGCUAAUACCGCAUACGAUCUAUGGAUGAAAGCGGGGGAUCGCAAGACCUCGCGCGAUUGGAGCGGCCGAUAUCAGAUUAGGUAGUUGGUGGGGUAAAAGCCCACCAAGCCGACGAUCUGUAGCUGGUCUGAGAGGACGACCAGCCACACUGGGACUGAGACACGGCCCAGACUCCUACGGGAGGCAGCAGUGGGGAAUUUUGGACAAUGGGCGCAAGCCUGAUCCAGCAAUGCCGCGUGCAGGAUGAAGGCCUUCGGGUUGUAAACUGCUUUUGUACGGAACGAAACGGUGAGCUCUAAUACAGUUUGCUAAUGACGGUACCGUAAGAAUAAGCACCGGCUAACUACGUGCCAGCAGCCGCGGUAAUACGUAGGGUGCAAGCGUUAAUCGGAAUUACUGGGCGUAAAGCGUGCGCAGGCGGUUAUGUAAGACAGAUGUGAAAUCCCCGGGCUUAACCUGGGAACUGCAUUUGUGACUGCAUAGCUAGAGUACGGUAGAGGGGGAUGGAAUUCCGCGUGUAGCAGUGAAAUGCGUAGAUAUGCGGAGGAACACCGAUGGCGAAGGCAAUCCCCUGGACCUGUACUGACGCUCAUGCACGAAAGCG
RNAcentral lists this ribosomal RNA (700 nucleotides) under uncultured Comamonadaceae bacterium. RNAcentral's name for it is "bacterial SSU rRNA". It matches the Rfam family "Bacterial small subunit ribosomal RNA", at positions 66 to 761 of the family's 1533-position model. The record is from RNAcentral. Lineage: Bacteria; Pseudomonadati; Pseudomonadota; Betaproteobacteria; Burkholderiales; Comamonadaceae.